RNAcentral lists this long non-coding RNA (2714 nucleotides) under Gossypium barbadense (sea-island cotton). RNAcentral describes it as "long non-coding RNA (GBAR_LNC010550)". Lineage: Eukaryota; Viridiplantae; Streptophyta; Magnoliopsida; Malvales; Malvaceae. The record is from RNAcentral.
GCUGAUCCCUUUCGCUGUAUGGCGUGCUCGUUUGGGUUGGGCGUUGGCUAAGAGUGCUCGGAGUGUGGAUUAACUCUAGUCUCCUAUCAGGUGUGUAUUUCUCACUACUCUAGCUGUAGGAUGGCUAAUUCAGGCAGCGAUGGGCCGAAAGGGGCCAUGUGGGCCCAAUGGGCCUACGGGCCCAAUUGGAUAAGUUGUUUGAUUGUGUAGUAAAUAUUGGACUAGGCUAGGUGAAUCUUAUAUCUGUGGCUAGAUUUGGGCUAAAAGGGCCACAUGAGCGUGUGGGCCCAUUUGGGCCGAGAAGGGCUUUAGGCUCAUUCGUAUUGUUAUCCCUGUUUAGAAUACUUUAGUUUAUCAAAUUACUGAAAUACCCUCGACUUGUAAAAUUACCAAAGUACCCCUAAUUUAUAAAAUUACCCAAAUAUUCUUGAUUUGUAAAAUUAUUGAAAUACCCUUGGUUUACAAAAUUACCCAAAUAUUCUCGAUUUGUAAAAUUACUGAAAUACCCUUGGUUUACAAAAUUACCAAAAUACCCUCGAUCAAUAAAAUUACUAAAAUACCCCUGGUUUGUAAAAUUACUAAAAUACCCCUUGAUUUGUAAAAUUACUGAAAUACCCUCGACUUGUAAAAAUUAUCAAAGUACCCUCGAUUUAUAGAAUUACUAUUUUACCCUCGAUUUACAGAAUUACUGUUUUACCCUUGAUUUACAAAAUUAUCGUUUUACCCUCGAAUAUGAAAUUACUAAAAUACCCCUAUAGGGUAGAAUUACCAAAACACCCCUAGUUUGUAAAGUUACCAAAAUACCACUGGUUUGUUCUCAAUUUGUAAAAUUACCAAAAUACCCCUGAUUUACAAAAUUACAAAAAUACCCUUGAUUUGUAGAUUUACCAAAACACCCUUGUAGGAUGAAAAGACUAAAAUACCCCUAAUAGGUAAAAAGACCGUAAAGUCGCUGUAGGGUAAAGUGACCGUAAUACCCUUGUAUGGUAAAAUGAUGAAUACGCCCUUAUGUUCCGUAUGACUGAUGUGCUUAGGAUUUACAUAUAUUGAUAUUGGAAUAGUUAAGUUUGAGUGACAGGUGGUGGUAAUCGUAAGUGGUUGAUUAUGGCAACGUUUCAACUUCAACCCGUAACAGGUGUGUACUAACCCUGGUAAUAGCUUAGACUAAUAUUUGCUGAGAAGUCGAAAUGCUAAAAUACCGGUAUUUCGAGAACUUGUGAUUUUUCCUUUUCUUAAAGUGCUAUAGAUAUGAUAUGAUCGGUGGUUGGAUCGAUGGAACAGGUAAGAGCACAAUUUUGUGCACGAUGGUAAGUUGGGCCUCAAUGGGCUGGAAUUGGGCCCAAUGGGCUUUCGGGCCCAUUUGGGUAAAAUUGAUAGAAAAUGAAAUUUGGAAAAGUUGCAUGAUAACACGGUUAGUACUGUUGUAAAAUUUGGAUUAAGCAGGCUUAGUGGGCUAAAUUGGCAUUCGUAGGGCCCGUUAGAGGUUUUGGGCCCAAAAGCUCGAGUUUGAUAAGUGGGUUAAAGAUCAUUAUUUAAACACUCGGAAAUAUUGAAAAUUGUUGAUAAACAUGAAAAACCCUGAUAUUUGGUAAAAUUAUGAAAUUACCCUUAUAGUAUGAAAAUGACUGUUUUGCCCCUAGGUAAAAAUGACUAUUAUACCCCUAGGGUUUAAUUAUAAAUUUGAUACGUGGGAUAUGAUAUACAUGAUUAAUAUGAUAUGCACAUGAUAUGUAUAAAAUGCACAUGAUAUGUAUGAAAUGCACAUGAUAUGUAUGAAAUGCACAUGAUGUAUUCAUAAAUGCAUUGGGUUGGGUUUUUAUAUGGAUGGAGGAAGUGCAAAAGGGCAUAUGCCCCAGUUUAUUGAAAAGGGCUUGUGCCCCAGUUUACCGAAAAGGGCUUAUGCCCCAGUUUAUUGAAAAGGGCUUUGCCCCAGUUUACCGAAAAGGGCUUUGCCCCAGUUAUUAAAAGAGGCUAGGCCUCCAAAUAUAUGAUAAAGCAGUUAUGCUGCCAGUGGUGUGUUGGUUGGGUGGGUUGAAUCAUUCCCCACAUGGUGUGUUAGUUGGCACAGAUGGAGAGUAGCGGAUGGUGGGUCGAGUAGUCUCCCCAAAUGGGCUUGUAUACAUUCAUUGGUAUUUCAUAUGAUAUUGAAAUGGGCUUGCAUACAUCCAUUGACAUUACAUGUGAUAUUGAAAUGGGCCUAUGGGCCACACCGUUUAUAGUAAAGGCUUCGGCCUAGUGAAAUGAUUUAUGAAAAGGUUUCAGCCCAGUGAUAUGAUUUAUGAAAAGGCUCGGCCUAGUGAUAUGAUUUAUGAAAAGGCUUCGGCCCAGUAACCGUUAAACGAAAGGCUUCGACCCAGUAUAUGUCAAGACUAAAUAGGGCUUUGGCCCAGAUUGUACUGAUACUGUGUUUUCACUGUUUGUAUGUUAUUGGGAUUACACACUGAGUUUUCGUAAACUCACCCUGUCUCUAACUGUGCAGGUAAUCCCUAAGCUUAGAUGGUUUGGAGUGCGAGGGACUCGGAGAUGGCCACACUACUGUUUCUGUUUCUUUUAAUUACAAAAGUAGCCGAUUUAUUUCUUUAUAAGUUUUAUGUUAUUAAUAUUAUUAUUUGGUUUUGGGUUGUAAUAAGGCCAUUUUAAUUAUUUUUCUGGGAUUAUUUUAUUUUAUACCCUAUAUUUUACUGAUAACAAUCCAAAAUGGGUUAGACUUAGGC